Molecule: long non-coding RNA, 825 nt
Filed under: Homo sapiens (human)
Lineage: Eukaryota; Metazoa; Chordata; Mammalia; Primates; Hominidae
Description: HSALNT0256447
Source: RNAcentral
UGAGGAUGCUCAAGUCUUUUAUAUAAAAUGGCACAAUAUUUGCAUAUAUCCUAUGCACAUCAUCUUUAAAUCAUCUCUAGAUUACCUAAUACAAUGUAGAUGCUACAUAAUCAUUAUACUGUAUUAUUUAAGGAAUAAUGACAAUAAAAAAGAAAACCUGUACAUGUCCAGCACAGACACAAUUGUUUUUCAAAUAUUUUCAACUCACUCUUGGUUGAAUCCAUGGAUGCAGAACCCAUGGAUGUGGAGGGUUGACUGUAAAUAUAUAUAUGUCUCAUUAGCUGUGCUAUGUCCCGGGUAACUGCCUCAGACAGCUCUCUUCUAGUGCACUAAUUCUCUUCAUCUAUGUCUCACUUGUAUUUUAACACCCUCCAACCAAGUUGUUAAUUUUUUUUUUUGAGACAGUGUCUCACUGUGUCGCUCAGGCAAGAGUACAACGGUGCCAUCUUGACUCACUGCGAGCGCCAUCUCCCGGGUUCAAGCGAAUCUCCUGCCCCAGCCACCUGAGUAGCUGGGAUUACAGGUGAGGGGGGCGGAUCACCUGAAGCCGGGAGUUCGAGACCAGCCUGACCAACAUGGAGAAAUCCCGUCUCUACCAAAAAUACAAAAUUAGCCAGGCAUGGUGGCGCAUGCCUGUAAUCUCAGCUACUCAGGAGGAUGAGGCAGGAGAAUUGCUUGAACCCAGAAGGCGGAGGUUGCAGUGAGCCGAGAUCACACCAUUGCACUCCAGCCUGGGCAACAAGAGCAAAACUCUGUCUCAAAAAAAACAAAAACAAAAACAAAAAACAAAAAAACUACAAAAAGUAUAUUAAGAACUACAAAAAG